GUACACUCCUGCGGGAGGCAGCAGUGGGGAAUAUUGAACAAUGGGCGCAAGCCUGAUCCAGCCAUGCCGCGUGAGUGAUGAAGGCCCUAGGGUUGUAAAGCUCUUUCACCGGUGAAGAUAAUGACGGUAACCGGAGAAGAAGCCCCGGCUAACUUCGUGCCAGCAGCCGCGGUAAUACGAAGGGGGCUAGCGUUGUUCGGAUUUACUGGGCGUAAAGCGCACGUAGGCGGACUAUUAAGUCAGGGGUGAAAUCCCGGGGCUCAACCCCGGAACUGCCUUUGAUACUGGUAGUCUUGAGUUCGAGAGAGGUGAGUGGAAUUCCGAGUGUAGAGGUGAAAUUCGUAGAUAUUCGGAGGAACACCAGUGGCGAAGGCGGCUCACUGGCUCGAUACUGACGCUGAGGUGCGAAAGCGUGGGGAGCAAACAGGAUUAGAUACCCCAGUAGUCCCAUGA
RNAcentral lists this ribosomal RNA (453 nucleotides) under uncultured organism. RNAcentral describes it as "partial 16S ribosomal RNA". It matches the Rfam family "Bacterial small subunit ribosomal RNA", at positions 331 to 800 of the family's 1533-position model. The record is from RNAcentral.